CUUGGGGCCCGCCAGGUCGUCUAUUUCCUCAAGACGAACUCCUGUUCGUUCAUGAGUUCUUCUUGCCGAUCCAAAUCCUCGCCGAUUCUGCCAAGUCUUUGCCCCUAGGCCACGGAAUCCACUCUAUAUAUAUUCCCCAUCUUCUUCUCUUCCGACUUUUGGCAAAAUUUUGUCUUCCCGUGCCCGUUUCGCCCGGAUCCGAUCUCGCCGGAGUUCGCCGCUGCAGGAGCAUCUCGCCGGUUGAUUCUAUCGCCUCUGAAGGGGAGCACGGAAACGAGCGGUGCAACCUCGACCAGAAGCUUACCUAGUCUGGCCGCGACUCCAGCCGCACUUCAUCGCCACCAGAAAUCGUCCUCGACGCCGAGCAGGACCCAUCCGAGGCCUUCGUGUCACUCCGCGUCCGACGCGCACCUCCCCGAGGCCAUCUGACCUCUGUAUCCGUCGCCCGCAUCUCCACCGAGGCGCCCCGCGCCGUUCUUCUCCAACUCCGGCAGGCGUAUUCUGCUCUUUUCGAUUGUCCAGAGUGUGAAGCGGAUCAGAAUUGAGCGUUAUAAUACUUCAACACCGUUCAAGG
Triticum aestivum (bread wheat) is the source of this 574-nucleotide long non-coding RNA. RefSeq lists it as uncharacterized. The transcript is spliced from 3 exons. The record is from RefSeq and is a predicted model, not a curated record. NCBI's taxonomy places the organism in Eukaryota, Viridiplantae, Streptophyta, Magnoliopsida, Poales, Poaceae.